This 455-nucleotide long non-coding RNA is filed under the name Androctonus crassicauda. Lineage: Eukaryota; Metazoa; Arthropoda; Arachnida; Scorpiones; Buthidae. The record is from RNAcentral.
ACUGGAUGCAUGGUGGAGACCGCCUUGAAGGGUGUAGGCUUCAAACCAGCGCUGGCCUUGCACUGUUGCAGCCCGUAGUUGGCAGAGGAAGCCGCUCCUGAGCCUGGGGCCGCUCACUCACAGGUCUGGUCAGGAGGCUGUUCUGAGAGAGGCCUCGCACCCUGGAUUCAGGAGAGUGUGCACCAUCUUGUAACAGCAAAUUGUAAAGCAGAUCUGGGCUCCAGCGUAACCCACUUUUGUUAAUGAAAACGGUGAGGGUGAUGUAUUGACAGACUGCGACUCUGUACUGUCUUUAGUUAAUUAUGUCUCCUUCAGAACUCUGUUGCUUCUGGUAUAAUAAAGUAUGGAAGAAUGUUUUUUACUCUCGGGCCCGGGAGAACUUCUUCCUCUCCUAGAGUAGCUUGCAGCUGUACAUGCAGUGGGGAGCAGGUAUGAUGGACAACACGGGAGGCCAC